UGGGGAAUUUUGGACAAUGGGCGAAAGCCUGAUCCAGCCAUGCCGCGUGAGUGAAGAAGGCCUUCGGGUUGUAAAGCUCUUUUAGUCGGAAAGAAAGAGUCGCAAUGAAUAAUUGUGAUUUAUGACGGUACCGACAGAAAAAGCACCGGCUAACUACGUGCCAGCAGCCGCGGUAAUACGUAGGGUGCGAGCGUUAAUCGGAAUUACUGGGCGUAAAGGGUGCGCAGGCGGUCUUGCAAGUCAGAUGUGAAAGCCCCGGGCUUAACCUGGGAAUUGCGUUUGAAACUACAAGACUAGAGUGCAGCAGAGGGGAGUGGAAUUCCAUGUGUAGCAGUGAAAUGCGUAGAGAUGUGGAAGAACACCGAUGGCGAAGGCAGCUCCCUGGGUUGACACUGACGCUCAUGCACGAAAGCGUGGGGAGCAAACA
Molecule: ribosomal RNA, 427 nt
Filed under: uncultured beta proteobacterium
Lineage: Bacteria; Pseudomonadati; Pseudomonadota; Betaproteobacteria
Description: bacterial SSU rRNA
Rfam family: Bacterial small subunit ribosomal RNA
Source: RNAcentral